This 440-nucleotide ribosomal RNA is filed under the name uncultured bacterium. Its description in RNAcentral is "bacterial SSU rRNA". It matches the Rfam family "Bacterial small subunit ribosomal RNA", at positions 958 to 1397 of the family's 1533-position model. The record is from RNAcentral.
AACGCGAAGAACCUUACCUGGGCUUGAACUGCACCGGACAAAGGUAGAAAUACCUCUCCCGCAAGGGGAAGCCAGAACAGGUGCUGCAUGGCUGUCGUCAGCUCGUGCCGUGAGGUGUUGGGUUAAGUCCCGAAACGAGCGCAACCCUCGCCCUUAGUUGCCAGCGGGUAAUGCCGGGCACUCUAAGGGAACUGCCCGUGAUAAACGGGAGGAAGGUGAGGAUGACGUCAAGUCCUCAUGGCCUUUAUGCCCAGGGCCACACACGUGCUACAAUGGCCGGUACAAAGGGUCGCGAACCCGCAAGGGGGAGCCAAUCCCAAAAAACCGGUCUCAGUUCAGAUUGGGGUCUGCAAUUCGACCCCAUGAAGUAGGAAUCGCUAGUAAUCGCGGAUCAGCACGCCGCGGUGAAUACGUUCCCGGGCCUUGUACACACCGCACGA